RNAcentral lists this long non-coding RNA (1157 nucleotides) under Malus domestica (apple). Its description in RNAcentral is "long non-coding RNA (MDOM_LNC003437)". The record is from RNAcentral. Lineage: Eukaryota; Viridiplantae; Streptophyta; Magnoliopsida; Rosales; Rosaceae.
GCCUUAAUUGAAUAAAUCAAGUGAAUCAACGUACAUACUUGAACAUAGUAGUGCAACAGAAGAAAAAUGCCAAUGAGUUUGUGAAAUUAUUUCCUGUUUUCAAAGUGUUUUAUUUUUCAAUUCAAAUUUCAAAAAAUUUUAAAAUUUCCAAACUAAAAAGUAGAAAAACACCAAAAAGAAAACUUUUAUGUAGAAAAUAUAAUUGUCACGCGAGAUUUUUCAGUGUGUCAGAAAUGCAGUCUAGCACACAAAAUGUAAUAAUGCAAUUGAUUGGAAGUUGGAAAAAAAAAUUCAACCAAUUAUAUCUUAACACUUAAUAUAUUAAACUUUAUUCUCAGCACACUUAAAAAUUUCUCUCGUCGCAACCAUUUUAACUUAUAUUCUCUAGGCAUUACUAAAUAAACUAAAAUUACAACAAUGGAGCUCUCAAAUCAAAUGUUCAAGAAACCAAGACCUUCAUUGGGUCCCAAUUGUUCAACACAAAUAAUUCCAAACAUUUUUUUGGGAAAAGAAAAAGGUAAUAAUUAAUAUAAUAUAAUUGGGAAAGUAGAAGAAAAAACAAAAAGCUCAAUCCAUUUUCUUCACGCGAAUGGCCUAAAAAGCCCCUCCACUUUGGACACAUCAAACCUGUCGUUACUUCCGGGCCCGCCACUUUCUCAACGGUCCGAUCUACCACAAAUUCGAAUUGUUUUCUUUCCCAAAUCCAACCCCACGAUUUUUUCUGUUAAAUGACAUUUUGACUUCAACCUUUGGUCAUAAUUACUAUCGAAGUAUCGUUGACGUGAAUUUAGCGGCUAAAUGAACUACAAGCUGACGGUAUGGUAAAUAACGGAUUAUAAGAUUUCUUUAAAAUUAAAAAUUUGAGGUUUUGGGUUUGAAAUCCGUUGUUGAUGUAGAAGUCAAACUUAUGAUUAGGGGAAGGCUGAAAUGUCUUUGUGAAUCUUCCCAAUUCUCGAAAGAAGUAGAUAAUCGUGACUUACCACCAAUUAUCUCAUUUUUCUAAAUAAAAAAUAAAAAAAAUUAGCAGCUAAAUGUAAGUUGGAUAAUUUCUAAAACGUUAUGAAGAAUUGUUUAAAUUAAUGAGUAAAUUUAAGGAAGAGGAUCCUCUCCGGAUCCAUUUUGUGAGGAUCCUAAGGAACCCCACAUCUUAGUCAUUC